RNAcentral lists this ribosomal RNA (431 nucleotides) under uncultured bacterium. RNAcentral's name for it is "bacterial SSU rRNA". It matches the Rfam family "Bacterial small subunit ribosomal RNA", at positions 355 to 796 of the family's 1533-position model. The record is from RNAcentral.
UCGAGGAUCUUCGGCAAUGGGCGCAAGCCUGACCGAGCGACGCCGCGUGGACGAUGAAGGCCUUCGGGUUGUAAAGUCCUUUAGUGGGGGAGGAAGGCGCAAGCUUGACCUAUCCCAAGAAUAAGCACGGGCUAAGUUCGUGCCAGCAGCCGCGGUAAGACGAACCGUGCGAACGUUGUUCGGAAUCACUGGGCUUAAAGGGCGCGUAGGCGGUCUGCCAAGUCCGGGGUGAAAGCCCCCAGCUCAACUGGGGAAGUGCCUUGGAUACUGGCGGACUCGAGGGAGGCAGGGGUCGUGGGAACUUCCGGUGGAGCGGUGAAAUGCGUUGAUAUCGGAAGGAACGCCGGUGGCGAAAGCGCACGACUGGUCCUCUUCUGACGCUGAGGCGCGAAAGCCAGGGGAGCAAACGGGAUUAGAUACCCCCGUAGUCC